RNAcentral lists this transfer RNA (85 nucleotides) under Pelobates cultripes (western spadefoot toad). Its description in RNAcentral is "tRNA.Arg". It matches the Rfam family "tRNA". From Rfam's summary of the family: Transfer RNA (tRNA) molecules are approximately 80 nucleotides in length. Their secondary structure includes four short double-helical elements and three loops (D, anti-codon, and T loops). Lineage: Eukaryota; Metazoa; Chordata; Amphibia; Anura; Pelobatidae. The record is from RNAcentral.
GGCUCUGUGGCGCAAUGGAUAGCGCAUUGGACUUCUAGUUGAUUAAGUUAUUCAAAGGUUGUGGGUUCGAGUCCCACCAGAGUCG